This is a non-coding RNA of Labrus bergylta (ballan wrasse), 2146 nucleotides long. The record is from RefSeq and is a predicted model, not a curated record. NCBI's taxonomy places the organism in Eukaryota, Metazoa, Chordata, Actinopteri, Labriformes, Labridae.
CCAGGGGGAAAUUUGUUGUCACAGCUUUGCACAGUUGGUACACAGGUAUACUUAUAUGAUAACAUGGGAAGAAACAUGUAAAAAAACAGGAAACACAUAGACAAUGAAAGAGGCCAGUCAGAGUGGACACUUAUCAAUAACUGAUGGAGCAAAGCUCUUUUUAAAGCGAGCCCUCUUCCAGGUCAGAGUUCUGUAUCUCCGACCUGAUGGCAGAACAGAAAGGAGUAGAUUGAGUGGGUGAGAGGGGUCCUGGUCUCUGCACUGCAGCUUGCGGAUACUGCGAGUAAUCCUCUUGAACUCCCGCCGUCCCUUCUGCCAUCGCUUGAGAGACGUGAUGACCAGCUCUCCGUCCAUCUUCUGGCCCAUGACCAGUGGCUGGUGCAAAGGUCUCCAUGCCUGCAGGCGGAAUGCACAAGUCAUUAUCGAGUGGGAAUCGGUUGCAGUCCAGCAUACUCGGCCACGGGAACCCAAACGCGGACAUCACGGGCUCGCAUCCGUUCUUGACGCUCUCGCACAGAGAUCUGCACGGCUGGAUGGGCUCGUCCAAGUCAUCCAGACACACGGGAGCGAAAAGCGAGCAGAGGAACUUUCUCGUGUCGGGGUUGCACUGCCUCCGUACCAGCGGGAUCCAGGACGAAGCUUGCUGCAGAACUUCGUUCAUGGUUUCGUGUCCGAGCAGGUUUGGGAGACGCAUCUCCGUGUACUCGAUAUCGUGGCACAGGAGGAAAUUUGCAGGGAUUGGCUUGCAGUUGUUCUUUUUGGGGAAGAAUUCAUGCUGGCCAAAGUUGUAUAAUCCGUGGAUAGCUUCCAUGCAUGGGAAUGUUAUUACCAACAAAACGGUCACUGUAGAGACAAAAGCUCUCAUUUUGUUUGCGCGUAAAACCUGAAUGGUACAAAUGUGAAAUCAGGAGCUGCUCAGCAUCAGUCAGUGUGGAGGGAGUCUCUGUCAGUGGACAGCUCUUACUGUAACAACAGGUUUUCUUCCAGGCUUGUCUGGGAGGAGUCUGAAUGUUGUGCAUAAAGACUCCCCUUGAACACUUGGUUUUCUAGUUUCCAUAGGUCAAAAAAAGCCACAUUUGUAUUUAUUGCUCCUUGGGUCUUUUAGACAUGUUUGAUUUUAUGUUAUAACUCAAGAGUUUUUAUUUAUCACUAUAACUGUUUUCCCCUCCUUAAUUCAUCUCCCACCCUUCAUGGAAAUAAUAACAAAACGUGUCAGACACUUUUCCUCAUUACGCUCAAAUCAACAGAAAUAUGACCUGUGUGAUCCUUCACCUUGCUGUGUUUUUUUUUUUUUUUUUUUUUGCCUGUGCUGUAAAAUAGUUUGGAAAUGUUGUCAGAAAGGGUAUUUAGCUCGGUUCAGUGAAGCGUUAAUUUCCCAUCAUUAGUAGUUUAGCAGGGACAUUCUCCGGGCAGGGCUGGCUCAUGCCACAUGAUGAAAUAUUGUUUGCCCCACUUUGAGAGGCAGAGCAGCACUCAGCACACCCAUGGGGGGAAACCCAAUCUGCCUCCUCCUGCUCUACAGGCCCCCCUUCAGCUUCAUUCUGCUCUGCAGACAGCAGUGUGGUUCUUCUCAGCACUGACCUCCCUCUUGCUGAAAUGAGCAAACAUUUAAAUCUUGUUUGUGGAAUAUUUUAGUGAGAAUUUUUAGCCCACCUAAAUUACAGAAACAUAUUUCCACUCAUAUUUUUAGUUUUCCAGAUUUAGAGAAGUCUGUCACCAAGAUUCCUGCUGCAUAUAUAGAAGACCCAAGUGCCAUAUAUCCAUUAAUUUUUUCCAUUUGUGCAUGAUAACAAGUCAUUUCCAAUUAUUUUCUAGAGCACUGAAUCUCAUCAGGUCAUCACUCAGGCCUUAAAGACAGAUCGAGACUAACUGUGCCAGAUUAUUUCUUUUGCAGUCUGUAAACUGUGUCACACUACUAGCCUUACCUUGAAGAACUUUGAACGUGAUUUUUUGUUCUUGUGUCAUGGACUGACCUGUUUUCUCUUUUUGUGUGCAGCCUGCCUGUGAGCCUCACCUCCUUGCUUUGGAUUUUUAUUUGGCCUUGCUGCUUUUUGAGUUUUCCUGCGCCAGCCCGUCCUCUGUUGCCACUAACUGCCUUAAGCCUUUUAUUUUGCUACAAGCUACAUUAAAACGUUUUAAAGACUGA